Molecule: transfer RNA, 84 nt
Filed under: Chamaedorea seifrizii (reed palm)
Lineage: Eukaryota; Viridiplantae; Streptophyta; Magnoliopsida; Arecales; Arecaceae
Also listed under: 38 other names
Description: tRNA-Tyr
Source: RNAcentral
UGGGUCGAGCUGGAUUUGAACCAGCGUAGACAUAUCGUCAACGAAUUUACAGUCCGUCCCCAUUAACCGCUCGGGCAUCGACCC